Molecule: long non-coding RNA, 472 nt
Organism: Glycine soja
Lineage: Eukaryota; Viridiplantae; Streptophyta; Magnoliopsida; Fabales; Fabaceae
Exons: 3
Source: RefSeq, a predicted model, not a curated record
ACGAGUCAUCCCUAGCUUGCCUGUGUAUUCAAACAACUAUUUAAAUGUGUUUAAAAUCCCUUGUUCCAGUUGCAAGGGAGUUGUUUUGCCUUCACAACUUGACCUUUUUUAUCCCAUCUUCUGUUGUAUGGCCCUCCUGGCACGGGCAAAACAUCAACGAUUCUUGUUGUGGCACGCAAACUGUAUGGUUCACAGUACCAAAAUAUGAUUUUGGAGCUCAAUGCAUCCGAUGAUAGAGGAAUUGAUGUCGUGCGCCAGCAGAUUCAAGAUUUUGCUAGCACUCAGCUUAUCAUUUGGGCUUGAUGUUGAGGACAGCGGCUUAGCAGCUUUUGUUCGGCUUAGCAAUGGUGAUAUGAGAAAGGCUUUGAAUAUUCUUCAGAUUCUUGCUUGAAAACUUUCAACUUUAAUGGCUAGCAAUAUACAUUACAACAACAUUUAUAUCCUUAUGCCAUUAGGUGAGGUCAAUACUGGG